This 406-nucleotide RNase P RNA is filed under the name Candidatus Manganitrophus sp. RNAcentral describes it as "RNase P RNA component class A". It matches the Rfam family "Bacterial RNase P class A". Rfam says of the family: Ribonuclease P (RNase P) is a ubiquitous endoribonuclease, found in archaea, bacteria and eukarya as well as chloroplasts and mitochondria. Its best characterised activity is the generation of mature 5'-ends of tRNAs by cleaving the 5'-leader elements of precursor-tRNAs. Lineage: Bacteria; Pseudomonadati; Nitrospirota; Nitrospiria; Candidatus Troglogloeales; Candidatus Manganitrophaceae. The record is from RNAcentral.
GAAGUGGCUCAGAUGAUCGCUCUCCGCAGGGUCUCACGAUCCUGGCGCGGGGGAGGAAAGUCCGAGCUCCAAAGGGCAGGGUGGUCGCUAACGGCGACUGGGGGGCGACCCUAAGGAAAGUGCCACAGAAAAUAAACCGCCUGGCAUCUUACGGAUGCCCGGUAAGGGUGAAACGGCGAGGUAAGAGCGCACCGCUUCGAUGGCGACAUCGAAGGCAUGGUAAACCCCACCCGGAGCAAGACCAAAUAGGAGAGCGCGAGGGAGGCGAAAGCCUUCUUCUAAGGGCGGCCCGCCCGAGCUCUCGGGUAAGGUCGCUAGAACCGGCUGGCAACAGACGGUCCAGAGAAAUGAUCAUCACCUCGACGCAGGUCGGGGAACAGAACUCGGCUUAUGAGCAACUUCGACU